AGCAGUCGCCGCGGGAAUACGGAGGAUCCAAGCGUUGUCCGGAAUCAUUGGGUUUAAAGGGUCCGUAGGCGGUCUUGUAAGUCAGUGGUGAAAGCCCAUCGCUCAACGGUGGAACGGCCAUUGAUACUGCAGGACUUGAAUUAUUGGGAAGUAACUAGAAUAUGUAGUGUAGCGGUGAAAUGCUUAGAGAUUACAUGGAAUACCAAUUGCGAAGGCAGGUUACUACCAAUUGAUUGACGCUGAUGGACGAAAGCGUGGGUAGCGAACAGGAUUAGAUACCCCCGUAGUCCCUGUCUCUUAUAC
This 303-nucleotide ribosomal RNA is filed under the name uncultured bacterium. RNAcentral's name for it is "partial 16S ribosomal RNA". It matches the Rfam family "Bacterial small subunit ribosomal RNA", at positions 507 to 807 of the family's 1533-position model. The record is from RNAcentral.